Molecule: transfer RNA, 76 nt
Filed under: Verrucomicrobiia bacterium
Lineage: Bacteria; Pseudomonadati; Verrucomicrobiota; Verrucomicrobiia
Description: tRNA-Ala
Rfam family: tRNA
About the family: Transfer RNA (tRNA) molecules are approximately 80 nucleotides in length. Their secondary structure includes four short double-helical elements and three loops (D, anti-codon, and T loops).
Source: RNAcentral
GGGGCUGUAGCUCAGCUGGUAGAGCAAUAGCUUUGCAAGCUAUGGGUCAGGAGUUCGAUUCUCCUCAGCUCCACCA